Platichthys flesus (European flounder) is the source of this 230-nucleotide long non-coding RNA. RefSeq lists it as uncharacterized. Lineage: Eukaryota; Metazoa; Chordata; Actinopteri; Pleuronectiformes; Pleuronectidae. The record is from RefSeq and is a predicted model, not a curated record. The transcript is spliced from 3 exons.
GAUUGCGCUGAGUAAUUUCUCAGAGGCAGGCAGAGGCAGGGGAUAUCUACUUGACUCCUUCCAAAUGACGGACAUUUGGAGAGGUAAAAAUAAAGGACUGAGGAAGAUAGAUCCCCUGGAUUAUGAUGUCCUGAUUGGAGCUGUCUGCGAGCACCAUCACUGGACACUAACUGUGAUGUAUCCUAAAAAGAGGCAGUCCGUUUAUGUUGAUCCAUUUGGGGCUAGCGAGG